RNAcentral lists this ribosomal RNA (274 nucleotides) under uncultured bacterium. Its description in RNAcentral is "partial 16S ribosomal RNA". It matches the Rfam family "Bacterial small subunit ribosomal RNA", at positions 523 to 796 of the family's 1533-position model. The record is from RNAcentral.
AUACGGAGGGUCCGAGCGUUAAUCGGAAUUACUGGGCGUAAAGCGCGCGUAGGUGGAUGUAUAAGUCAGAUGUGAAAGCCCUGGGCUCAACCUAGGAACUGCAUUUGAAACUGUACGUCUAGAGUAUGGUAGAGGUGAGUGGAAUUUCAGGUGUAGCGGUGAAAUGCGUAGAGAUCUGAAGGAACAUCAGUGGCGAAGGCGACUCACUGGGCCAUUACUGACACUGAGGUGCGAAAGCGUGGGUAGCAAAUAGGAUUAGAAACCCUAGUAGUCC